GGUUGUAGCUCAGUGGUAGAGCACUUGCCUAGUGUGUGUGAGGCACUGGGUUUGAUUCUCAGCACCA
This 67-nucleotide transfer RNA is filed under the name Marmota monax (woodchuck). RNAcentral's name for it is "tRNA.Thr". It matches the Rfam family "tRNA". From Rfam's summary of the family: Transfer RNA (tRNA) molecules are approximately 80 nucleotides in length. Their secondary structure includes four short double-helical elements and three loops (D, anti-codon, and T loops). The record is from RNAcentral. Lineage: Eukaryota; Metazoa; Chordata; Mammalia; Rodentia; Sciuridae.